UACAGGGGGGGCAAGCGUUGUUCGGAAUUACUGGGCGUAAAGGGCUCGUAGGCGGCCAACUAAGUCGGAUGUGAAAUCCCCAGGCUUAACCUGGGAAUUGCAUCCGAUACUGGAUGGCUUGAAUCCGGGAGAGGGAUGCGGAAUUCCAGGUGUAGCGGUGAAAUGCGUAGAUAUCUGGAGGAACACCGGUGGCGAAGGCGGCAUCCUGGACCGGCAUUGACGCUGAGGAGCGAAAGCCAGGGGAGCAAACGGG
RNAcentral lists this ribosomal RNA (253 nucleotides) under uncultured bacterium. RNAcentral describes it as "partial 16S ribosomal RNA". It matches the Rfam family "Bacterial small subunit ribosomal RNA", at positions 524 to 776 of the family's 1533-position model. The record is from RNAcentral.